GAAUAUUGCGCAAUGGAGGGAACUCUGACUCAGCGACGCCGCGUGAGCGAUGAUGGUUAUCGGAUCGUAAAGCUCUGUCCUUGGGGAAGAAGGCGGCCAUUUAUGGUCACUUGACGGUACCCAAGGAGGAAGCCCCGGCUAACUACGUGCCAGCAGCCGCGGUAAUACGUACGGGGCAAGCGUUGUCCGGAAUUAUUGGGCGUAAAGGGUGCGUAGGCGGCCUUUUAAGUCAGAUGUGAAAGACCACGGCUUAACCGUGGGGUUGCAUUUGAAACUGGAGGGCUUGAGUAUCGGAGAGGGUAGUGGAAUUCCCAGUGUAGCGGUGGAAUGCGUAGAUAUUGGGAGGAACACCAGUGGCGAAGGCGACUACCUGGACGAAAACUGACGCUGAGGCACGAAAGCUAGGGGAGCAAACA
This 416-nucleotide ribosomal RNA is filed under the name uncultured bacterium. RNAcentral's name for it is "partial 16S ribosomal RNA". It matches the Rfam family "Bacterial small subunit ribosomal RNA", at positions 359 to 774 of the family's 1533-position model. The record is from RNAcentral.